CCAACCCCGGGUGAGUAGUACGAAAAACUCUAGGGGCCCCUAUCCUACAACCCUGAUACUAGACCUCCAGUCUUUCCUAUCAAGGGCCAUGUCCUCCGAAACCCGCAUACUAGCCUGUCCUUCCUAAUCACCUCUUCCCAAUACCUCUUAGGCCUCCCUCUGCCUCGCCGAACGCCGACCAUCGUCAGCUGUUCACAACUCCUCACCGGGGCAUCAGGACUUCUCCGCCGCACAUGCCCGAACCAUUUCAGCCUCGCUUCUCGCAUCUUCUCAUCCACUGGGGCCACCCCCACCUUCUCUCGAAUAACUUCAUUCUUAAUCUUAUCUAACCUAGUAAGCCCGCACAUCCACCUAAGCAUCCUCAUAUCCGCAACCUUCAUUCUCUGAACAUGCGAGUUCUUUACUGGCCAACACUCUGC
This 419-nucleotide long non-coding RNA is filed under the name Nicotiana benthamiana. Its description in RNAcentral is "long non-coding RNA (NBEN_LNC020422)". Lineage: Eukaryota; Viridiplantae; Streptophyta; Magnoliopsida; Solanales; Solanaceae. The record is from RNAcentral.